ACAAAAAAAAAAAAAAUUUCUUAUAAAAAAGUUGCAAUUUUUGGAAAUCUUUCAUUCUUAAAUAAAUAAAAAACCGAACUUGAAAUAUAGCAAUAGCUUUAGCAAGCGAUCAGAAUCCUCGUAUGAAGGUCGCCAGUAAUAAGGGUUAGAUAAAGACACCAAAAACCUCAGAGCCUCCGCUUUUCCUCGUCUGCUAAAACCUCUCUUUUCAACUUUUCAAAACAAAAGCCAAAAAAAAAGUUUUUAUCUUUUCCUUUUCACUUCUUUACGCACUCUCUCCCACUCUGCAAUUGUGCGUUUUAAGUAUUGGAAAUUCAAUCUAAAUUGAUUUGAUGGCGGCGAGGGCAGCUGGGAAAUUGUAUAGAAAUUUCAUGCGCCAAAGGGUAAUUUCAACUUCCAUCGGAGCUUCCAGACAUUGCUCUUCCGCUGCUACUUCUGCUCCUAAGAUCCCUCAUUCUUCAAAAAAGGGGAGGUUAUUGACAGGAGCCACCAUAGGCUUAAUUAUAGCAGGAGGAGCUUAUGUUAGUACAGUUGAUGAAGCUACUUUCUGUGGUUGGCUAUUCUCAGCGACAAAACUUGUAAACCCAUUCUUUGCACUUUUGGAUGCUGAGGUUGCUCAUAAACUAGCUGUUUCAGCUGCUGCACAUGGCUGGGUUCCCAGGGAGAAGAGGCCUGAUCCACCUAUUUUGGGAUUAGAAGUUUGGGGAAGGAAGUUUUCAAACCCAAUAGGUCUUUCUGCUGGCUUCGAUAAAAAUGCAGAAGCUGUUGAAGGCUUACUUGGUAUGGGUUUUGGCUUUGUGGAAGUUGGAUCUGUAACCCCUGUUCCACAAGAGGGUAAUCCAAAGCCACAUAUCUUUAGAUUGCGACAAGAAGGUGCUAUCAUCAACUGCUGUGGGUUCAAUAGUGAAGGAAUUGUUGCUGUUGCUAAGCGAUUGGGUGCCCAGCAUGGUAAGAGGAAGUUGGAGACGUCGAGCUCUUCAUCACCCUUGAGUGAAGAAGCCAAACAUGGAGGCAAAGCUGGUCCUGGAAUUCUAGGAGUCAAUCUUGGAAAGAAUAAGACAAGUGAAGAUGCCGCUGCUGAUUAUGUACAAGGAGUUCACACAUUAUCCCAGUAUGCUGAUUACUUGGUUAUUAAUAUUUCAUCACCAAACACUCCUGGAUUGCGUAUGCUUCAGGGAAGGAAACAUUUGAAGGAUCUUGUUAAGAAGGUUCAAGCUGCUCGUGAUGAAAUGCAAUGGGGUGAGGAGGGUCCUCCUCCACUGCUUGUUAAAAUUUCUCCAGACUUGUCUAAAGAAGACCUUGAGGAUAUAGCAGCAGUUGCUGUUGCCCUCCGCUUGGAUGGAUUGAUUAUAUCAAACACAACCAUUUCAAGACCAGAUCCUGUAAAUAAAAAUCCAGUCUCUGCAGAGUCUGGUGGCUUAAGUGGGAAGCCUUUGUUUAAUUUGUCAACCAACAUCUUAAUGGAGAUGUAUCUCCUGACAAGGGUAUGUUGUCUAUUCUAAUAAAAGAUUCUUAUAGAGUAUUAGAGCUGUUGAAUUUUCAUGGUCAUAUCUUCUAUUUCUAAAUAUGGUUUCCCUUUAAUGUCUUGAAAUGGUUAUGUCUUCUACCUUUCUUUUCCAAAAACCCUACAAGCACACUCCUCUACUUCAACCCAGUUUAACAUAUAGAACAUGAAGAAAAGCCAAAAUGGUGUUCGUAAACAAACUGGCUACAUCAGGUUGGAGAAUAUUGCCUCUUGAAAGUACAGAGGUUGCAUGGAGUUUUGUGAGCAAGAGAUAUGUAUUGCUUGUAUUUGGGUAUUGACAUAGAUGUUGGCCUUGUAGCUGCUUGACAUGUAAUUCGGUGCUGGUGUCUGCUGUGUAGGAACUGUCAACUGUAUUAUAUUGCCUUAUUUCAUUAUCUUAUUGUACAUUCCAAGAUGCUUCAAGUUUUUACUCUUGAGGGCAUUAUAAUUUGUGAUUAUGUGUAUUGUCCUGGUGUAUACUUUUAAUUUGGAUGUUAGGAUGAUGGAACUGCUAUGUCCACAAAUGUUUACAGUUUGAUGAUUUCAAAUUUUCAACAGCUAGGUGUGCAGCUGGCCUUAUUAUUGGCUUUCAAUGCUUACUUUCUGUUUGUUAGUGUCUUCUCUAUGCAAAUCUAUAUUCUCAAAUAAAUUUGUAAAGUAUUCAGAUGCUUUACCUGGUCACGGUUUCUGUUUGAAUUCUAUUGAUUGUUUUGCUUGUAAGCUAUGCAUCUUACUUAUAAAGCUAA
RNA transcript from Durio zibethinus, 2250 nucleotides. It is a transcript of the gene named dihydroorotate dehydrogenase (quinone), mitochondrial-like, with no coding region annotated. NCBI's taxonomy places the organism in Eukaryota, Viridiplantae, Streptophyta, Magnoliopsida, Malvales, Malvaceae. The record is from RefSeq and is a predicted model, not a curated record.